Molecule: unclassified non-coding RNA, 241 nt
Filed under: fungal sp.
Lineage: Eukaryota; Fungi
Description: partial internal transcribed spacer region
Rfam family: Eukaryotic small subunit ribosomal RNA (bases 1-46)
Source: RNAcentral
AAGUCGUAACAAGGUAACCGUAGGUGAACCUGCGGUUGGAUCAUUAAUAAAUUUAUAAAGGUUAAAGGUCUUUACAGAUCUUUAACUCUUUAACAAAUUUGUGAACUUUAUUAAAGUCUUUUGGGAUGAUAGUAAUAUUAUCCCAAAAACCCCUUUUAAACAAUUUAUAUUUUAUCAAGUCUUUAACAACCUUUAAAUUUAAUUUAAAAAACAACUUUUGACAACGGAUCUCUUGGCUCUC